Pelobates cultripes (western spadefoot toad) is the source of this 207-nucleotide non-coding RNA. The record is from the annotation of a GenBank genome assembly. Lineage: Eukaryota; Metazoa; Chordata; Amphibia; Anura; Pelobatidae.
CCAAAAUAGCAUGUUUAAGGAGAGGAGAAGCAAUGCUGAGGUUAUGGUAUUAUUUGACAGCCCGUUUUGUAAGUAAUGAAUGUUGGUAUUUUUAAUAGCAGCUUGCAGUGAUACGGGUAAACUACCUGAUAAACAAUUUAAUCAAGCAAUACGUUAAUUUGUGUGUAAUGUGUGCUUGUGUAGAACAGAUUACUGGGUAUAUAACGU